RNAcentral lists this long non-coding RNA (2276 nucleotides) under Manihot esculenta (cassava). RNAcentral describes it as "long non-coding RNA (MESC_LNC002735)". The record is from RNAcentral. Lineage: Eukaryota; Viridiplantae; Streptophyta; Magnoliopsida; Malpighiales; Euphorbiaceae.
GCACUGGUUUUAGGCAACAGUUCACACAAGACGAGAGUAAUUGGGAGCUUGGUUUUCAGCGCCGGCGUUAGUUGUUGGGGACAGAACAAUGCCCAAGCAUAGAGAUCUGCAACCAUAUGUUUUAUUAGAAAACGGUAAAUAAAGUAACUCAGGUGUAUCGUUAUUAAUUUUUUUUACUAUUGAUUAUAUAUAAAAUAAAUAAAAAUAUUAUUUAUUAAAUAAAUAUAUCUUUAUAUAUAAUUAUUAUUUAAAAAAUUAUUGACUCAUAUGAGUAUAUAUUUUUCUUAAUCUAACUGAGUACCUUGCAUUUGAUGACUAUACCGCAACAACAAAUAUUUUUACCAAUAGGAAAAAAGAGUAGAAGUUGAACUGUGAACGCUAGAAUCAAGUUCACAUCAUUUACCAAUCGAGCUAGAGACCUAGACCUUCAACACUAUUUAUGUUAAAAGCAUUAUUUUUAUGAAAAAUAAAUUUAAUGAUUAUUAAAUUAAAUAUUUUUAUAUGUAAAUUUAUAUAUAAUUAUUUAAAUAUAUAUAAUAAAUACUUAAAUUUAUAUACAAAAUAUUUAUUUUAAUAGUUUUAAAACUCAUUAACCGAUUUGAGAAUGCAGGAGCCCAGUCGAUAUCAUUGAUUUUUCAACGACUGUGCCGGGUUCUUGGUUCUCUGCUUGAUGGGCUCCCGUGAUUUCCUACAUAGUAACUAUGGUCCCAACUAUUAUGUCCAGCAAGCUAAAACCAAACCAACCGUUUGGGCCUAAAUCUGCAGGAUAAUGUUCGUCUUUUUUUCCUAAAAGAAAAUAAGUAUUGAGCCUGACUCUAUCAUUUCCAAAAAAAAAUUUUAUUUUUCUGUUUAAGAUAAUUAAUUUAUUAAUAAUACCAAUACCAUUUUAUAUUUAAUAUAAACUAAAAAAAGAAAAUUUAUUAAUUUUAAGAAUAAAAAUGAGUUAUUUAAUUUUUAAUGUAGUAAUAUAAGUGAAAAAUAAAAUUAAAAUAAUGAAUUUUUUAUUCAUUAUUUUAAUUUUAUUUUUAAGUUAUAUAAAAAUUAACCCCUCUAAUUCAAACAUUGAUGAUCUUUUACUAUUGAAAAAAUAAUAAUUCUAUAUUUUUGCUUUGUCAUUCAUUCAUUUAUUUCCUUGAGAAUUAAACAUUACCAUUGAUAAAAAUAGCCCCAAUCAAUUUCUCCUACCGACAGUCCUGCCGACCUUGAUAUAAUGACACAGCUUGAUUGUAUAUAUAUAUAUUAAAAAUAUAUGCUGUAAUUUAUUUUGGCCUCUCUUUUUUCUAGUUCUAACUCAGUCAGGCAAUGCAAAUUAUUCUAUGAUAAUUAAAUAACUUAUUGCUCAUUGAAGAUAUUUCUUUAAAAAGAUGAAAAAAGGAGAAUAUAUUGAAACUAUAAAGAGAAAGCUAGAACUUUAAUGGGCCAGGAAUGUAAAAUACGCCAUCUCAGAAAUCAUCAAUGCUAGAUCAUUAAAUUGUUUUUUACUUUAAAAAAAAAUACUAACUGAAAGAGGAAGAUGGCACAAGAAAAUUCUAUAAAAGGAAGGUUUGGAACCCUAAGGAUAUAUAUAGAAUGACAAGAACGAAGAAGAAGAGGAAGAUGAUAAAGAGAGAAGAAGUUACGUGCAAUACAGAUUUUAAAAUUUUUACUCAUCAGGAAAUCAGGACUUGAUCAUUUUUCAAUGUACAUUGUCAAUUCUGUGCAUCUAGGAUAGCCCAUGGCGAAGAACUAUAUAUCAGCUACAUAUAUAUAUAUAUAUUGCAUUUUAAUCAUAUUACAGAUUAAUUCUAUAAUCUUAAAUAUUAUAUAUAGAUAGAUAAACCGAAAUAAUAAUAAUAAUAAAAGCAUACACUAAUUAAUAUUGGUCAUGGUGUGUAAAUCUUGGAAAGAGCUUGCAAAACAUGAACUUGCAACCUCAAAUGCAGUAUAUAAUCAGCCGUCUUUAAAAAAAGACGAUCCGGCUGCAGCCCUUGCCCUCCUGGAAUCAGUCUCUGCAACUUCUUCAUCUUCAUUCGGACUGAGCAGCGAACACUUGAUCUUCUCCGCUGCCUCCUCCACUUAACCUUCGCAAAAUCUCUGCAUCCAUUAAUCCCCAUUGAUACCUAAGCAGAGAAAUAUAGCCAGAGUCGAUAGGAAAGGGAGAGAGUUGGAGUUUGAACAGUUGCGAAGAAAAGGAGAGCUACAAAACGAUGAGAGGGCAGAGGGGUUGUCUGUGAUGGUUAUAGUUAUAGGAAGGGCCAUGUGAGCCGAGCCAUGAAUAUUUAAUAUAUAUUAAUUUU